UACGGAAGGCAGCAGUGGGGAAUAUUGCACAAUGGGCGCAAGCCUGAUGCAGCCAUGCCGCGUGUAUGAAGAAGGCCUUCGGGUUGUAAAGUACUUUCAGUCGUGAGGAAGGUGUUAAGGUUAAUAACCUUAGCAAUUGACGUUAGCGACAGAAGAAGCACCGGCUAACUCCGUGCCAGCAGCCGCGGUAAUACGGAGGGUGCGAGCGUUAAUCGGAAUUACUGGGCGUAAAGGGCACGCAGGCGGUUAAUUAAGUUGGAUGUGAAAUCCCCGGGCUUAACCUGGGAAUGGCAUUCAAGACUGGUUAGCUAGAGUCUUGUAGAGGGGGUAGAAUUCCAUGUGUAGCGGUGAAAUGCGUAGAGAUGUGGAGGAAUACCGGUGGCGAAGGCGGCCCCUGGGACAAAGGACUGACGCUCGAUGUGCGAAAGCGUGGGGAGCAAAC
Molecule: ribosomal RNA, 442 nt
Filed under: uncultured bacterium
Lineage: Bacteria
Description: bacterial SSU rRNA
Rfam family: Bacterial small subunit ribosomal RNA
Source: RNAcentral